CGCCUAACACAUGCAAGUCGAACGAAGUAGCAAUACUUAGUGGCAGACGGGUGAGUAACAUGUGGGUAUCUACCCUUUGGCCUGGAAUAACACGAGGAAACUUGUGCUAAUACCGGAUAAGUCUUUACGGAGAAAGCUUUAUGCACCAUUGGAUGAGCCUGCACUUGAUUAGUUUGUUGGUGGGGUAAUGGCCUACCAAGACUUUGAUCAAUAGCUGAUUUGAGAGGAUGAUCAGCCACAUUGGGACUGAGACACGGCCCAAACUCCUACGGGAGGCAGCAGUGGGGAAUCUUGCACAAUGGAGGAAACUCUGAUGCAGCGAUGCCGCGUGAGUGAAGAAGGCCCUUGGGUUGUAAAGCUCUUUCGUCGGGGAAGAAAAUGACUGUACCCGAAUAAGAAGGUCCGGCUAACUUCGUGCCAGCAGCCGCGGUAAUACGAAGGGACCUAGCGUAGUUCGGAAUUACUGGGCUUAAAGAGUUCGUAGGUGGUUGAAAAAGUUGGUGGUGAAAUCCCAGAGCUUAACUCUGGAACUGCCAUCAAAACUUUUCAGCUAGAGUUUGAUAGAGGAAAGCAGAAUUUCUAGUGUAGAGGUGAAAUUCGUAGAUAUUAGAAAGAAUACCAAUUGCGAAGGCAGCUUUCUGGAUCAUUACUGACACUGAGGAACGAAAGCAUGGGUAGCGAAGAGGAUUAGAUACCCUCGUAGUCCAUGCCGUAAACGAUGUGUGUUAGACGUUGGAAAUUUAUUUUCAGUGUCGCAGCGAAAGCGAUAAACACACCGCCUGGGGAGUACGAC
This 793-nucleotide ribosomal RNA is filed under the name uncultured Pelagibacteraceae bacterium. Its description in RNAcentral is "bacterial SSU rRNA". It matches the Rfam family "Bacterial small subunit ribosomal RNA", at positions 45 to 886 of the family's 1533-position model. The record is from RNAcentral. Lineage: Bacteria; Pseudomonadati; Pseudomonadota; Alphaproteobacteria; Candidatus Pelagibacterales; Candidatus Pelagibacteraceae.